RNAcentral lists this ribosomal RNA (479 nucleotides) under Creobroter elongata. RNAcentral's name for it is "partial 16S ribosomal RNA". It matches the Rfam family "Bacterial large subunit ribosomal RNA", at positions 1853 to 2584 of the family's 2925-position model. The record is from RNAcentral. Lineage: Eukaryota; Metazoa; Arthropoda; Insecta; Mantodea; Hymenopodidae.
UCUAGUCUGCCCACUGAAUAUAAAUUAUUUGAAGGGCCGCGGUAUUUUGACUGUGCGAAGGUAGCGUAAUCAUUAGUCUUUUAAUUGAAGGCUUGUAUGAAUGGCUGGAUGAGGUGGAUACUGUUUUAUAUUUAUUUAAAUUGAAUUUAGAUUUUAAGUAAAAAUACUUAAAUAAUAUUAAGGGACGAGAAGACCCUAUAGAGUUUAAUAAAUGUAGUAAUUAAUUAGGUUAAAAAUUAAUUUAUAAUUAAUAUGAAGUUUAUUUAAUUGGGGAGAUUUAAAGAUAAAUAUAACUCUUUUUAAAUUUUAAUGUUAUAUCUAGUUUUGUGAUCCAUUAAUAAUGAUUAAAAGAUUAAAUUACCUUAGGGAUAACAGCAUAAUUUCCUUUAAGAGUUCAUAUCGAAAAGGAAGAUUGUGACCUCGAUGUUGGAUUAAGAUUAGUCUUAAGGUGUAGAUGUUUAUAGGCUAGGUCUGUUCGA